AUUCCAGCUCCAAUAGCGUAUAUUAAAGUUGUUGCAGUUAAAAAGCUCGUAGUUGGAUUUCUGGUGGAAGUGACCGGUCUGUCCCUAGUGGAUGUGAACUUGUGUCUACUUUUGCCAUCCUUGGGGAGAGCGUGCCUGGCAUUAGGUUGUCGGGUUCGGGAUCCCCAUCCUUUACUGUGAAAAAAUUAGAGUGUUUAAAGCAGGCUUAUGCCAUUGAAUACAUUAGCAUGGAAUAAUAAGAUAGGACUUUGGUGGUCUAUUUUGUUGGUUUGCACACCAAGGUAAUGAUUAAUAGGGAUAGUUGGGGGUAUCCGUAUUUCGUAGUCAGAGGUGAAAUUCUUGGAUUUACGAAAGACGAACUACUGCGAAAGCAUUUACCAAGGAUGUUUUCAUUA
This 395-nucleotide ribosomal RNA is filed under the name Stramenopiles sp. RNAcentral's name for it is "partial small subunit ribosomal RNA". It matches the Rfam family "Eukaryotic small subunit ribosomal RNA", at positions 582 to 975 of the family's 1831-position model. The record is from RNAcentral.